RNAcentral lists this ribosomal RNA (439 nucleotides) under uncultured bacterium. RNAcentral describes it as "partial 16S ribosomal RNA". It matches the Rfam family "Bacterial small subunit ribosomal RNA", at positions 339 to 795 of the family's 1533-position model. The record is from RNAcentral.
CUACGGGAUGCUCCAGUAGGGAAUCUUAGACAAUGGGGGAAACCCUGAUCUAGCCAUGCCGCGUGAGUGAUGAAGGCCUUAGGGUUGUAAAGCUCUUUCGCUGGGGAAGAUAAUGACGGUACCCAGUAAAGAAACCCCGGCUAACUCCGUGCCAGCAGCCGCGGUAAUACGGAGGGGGUUAGCGUUGUUCGGAAUUACUGGGCGUAAAGCGCGCGUAGGCGGGGUAUUAAGUCAGGGGUGAAAUCCCGGGGCUCAACCCCGGAACUGCCUUUGAUACUGGUAGUCUUGAGUUCGAGAGAGGUGAGUGGAAUUCCGAGUGUAGAGGUGAAAUUCGUAGAUAUUCGGAGGAACAUCAGUGGCGAAGGCGACUCACUGGCUCGAUACUGACGCUGAGGUGCGAAAGUGUGGGGAGCAAACAGGAUUAGAUACCCUUGUAGUC